RNAcentral lists this transfer RNA (72 nucleotides) under Sphaerodactylus townsendi. Its description in RNAcentral is "tRNA-Ala". It matches the Rfam family "tRNA". Rfam says of the family: Transfer RNA (tRNA) molecules are approximately 80 nucleotides in length. Their secondary structure includes four short double-helical elements and three loops (D, anti-codon, and T loops). The record is from RNAcentral. Lineage: Eukaryota; Metazoa; Chordata; Lepidosauria; Squamata; Sphaerodactylidae.
GGGGCUGCGGCUCAACAGCAGAACAUCUGCUUGGCAUGCAGAAGGCCCCAGGUUCAAUCCCCAGCAUCUCCU